AUCUUGCGCAAUGGGCGAAAGCCUGACGCAGCCAUGCCGCGUGAAUGAUGAAGGUCUUAGGAUUGUAAAAUUCUUUCACCGGGGAAGAUAAUGACGGUACCCCUCAAGAAAGCGCCGGCUAACCCUGUGCCAGCAGCCGCGGUAAUACAGGGGGCGCGAGCGUUGCUCGGAAUCACUGGGCGUAAAGCGUACGCAGGCGGACCGUUAAGUCGGAUGUGAAAUCCCGAGGCUCAACCUCGGACGUGCAUUCGAUACUGGCGGUCUCGAGUACGGGAGAGGUGAGCGGAAUUCCUGGUGUAGAGGUGAAAUUCGUAGAUAUCAGGAGGAACACCGGUGGCGAAAGCGGCUCACUGGCCCGAUACUGACGCUCAUGUACGAAAGCGUGGGGAGCAAACAGG
This 398-nucleotide ribosomal RNA is filed under the name uncultured bacterium. RNAcentral describes it as "bacterial SSU rRNA". It matches the Rfam family "Bacterial small subunit ribosomal RNA", at positions 361 to 776 of the family's 1533-position model. The record is from RNAcentral.